UAGGUUAACGAGGCGAACCGGGGGAACUGAAACAUCUAAGUACCCCGAGGAAAAGAAAUCAACCGAGAUUCCCCCAGUAGCGGCGAGCGAACGGGGAGCAGCCCAGAGUCUGAAUCAGCUUGUGUGUUAGUGGAACGGUCUGGAAAGUCCGACGGUACAGGGUGAUAGUCCCGUACACCAAAAUGCACAGGCUGUGAACUCGAAGAGUAGGGCGGGACACGUGGUAUCCUGUCUGAAUAUGGGGGGACCAUCCUCCAAGGCUAAAUACUCCUGACUGACCGAUAGUGAACCAGUACCGUGAGGGAAAGGCGAAAAGAACCCCGGCGAGGGGAGUGAAAAAGAACCUGAAACCGUGUACGUACAAGCAGUGGGAGCACCUUCGGGUGUGACUGCGUACCUUUUGUAUAAUGGGUCAGCGACUUAUAUUCUGUAGCAAGGUUAACCGUAUAGGGGAGCCGCAGGGAAACCGAGUCUUAACUGGGCGUUAAGUUGCAGGGUAUAGACCCGAAACCCGGUGAUCUAGCCAUGGGCAGGUUGAAGGUUGGGUAACACUAACUGGAGGACCGAACCGACUAAUGUUGAAAAAUUAGCGGAUGACUUGUGGCUGGGGGUGAAAGGCCAAUCAAACCGGGAGAUAGCUGGUUCUCCCCGAAAGCUAUUUAGGUAGCGCCUCGUGAACUCAUCUUCGGGGGUAGAGCACUGUUUCGGCUAGGGGGUCAUCCCGACUUACCAACCCGAUGCAAACUACGAAUACCGAAGAAUGUUAUCACGGGAGACACACGGCGGGUGCUAACGUCCGUCGUGAAGAGGGAAACAACCCAGACCGCCAGCUAAGGUCCCAAAGUCAUGGUUAAGUGGGAAACGAUGUGGGAAGGCACAGACAGCCAGGAUGUUGGCUUAGAAGCAGCCAUCAUUUAAAGAAAGCGUAAUAGCUCACUGGUCGAGUCGGCCUGCGCGGAAGAUGUAACGGGGCUAAACCAUGCACCGAAGCUGCGGCAGCGACACUAUGUGUUGUUGGGUAGGGGAGCGUUCUGUAAGCCUGCGAAGGUGACCUGUGAGGGUUGCUGGAGGUAUCAGAAGUGCGAAUGCUGACAUAAGUAACGAUAAAGCGGGUGAAAAGCCCGCUCGCCGGAAGACCAAGGGUUCCUGUCCAACGUUAAUCGGGGCAGGGUGAGUCGACCCCUAAGGCGAGGCCGAAAGGCGUAGUCGAUGGGAAACAGGUUAAUAUUCCUGUACUUGGUGUUACUGCGAAGGGGGGACGGAGAAGGCUAUGUUAGCCGGGCGACGGUUGUCCCGGUUUAAGCAUGUAGGCUGAUUGUCCAGGCAAAUCCGGAUAAUCAAGGCUGAGGUGUGAUGACGAGGCACUACGGUGCUGAAGUAACAAAUGCCCUGCUUCCAGGAAAAG
RNAcentral lists this ribosomal RNA (1405 nucleotides) under Klebsiella pneumoniae. RNAcentral describes it as "partial 23S ribosomal RNA". It matches the Rfam family "Bacterial large subunit ribosomal RNA", at positions 167 to 1617 of the family's 2925-position model. Lineage: Bacteria; Pseudomonadati; Pseudomonadota; Gammaproteobacteria; Enterobacterales; Enterobacteriaceae. The record is from RNAcentral.